UACGUAGGGGGCAAGCGUUGUCCGGAAUCAUUGGGCGUAAAGAGCGUGUAGGCGGCCCGAUAAGUCCGCUGUGAAAGUCCAGGGCUCAACCCUGGGAUGCCGGUGGAUACUGUCGGGCUCGAGUCCGGAAGAGGCGAGUGGAAUUCCUGGUGUAGCGGUGAAAUGACGCAGAUAUCAGGAGGAACACCAAUGGCGAAGGCAGCUCGCUGGGACGUGACUGACGCUGAGACGCGAAAGCGUGGGGAGCAAACAGG
RNAcentral lists this ribosomal RNA (254 nucleotides) under uncultured bacterium. RNAcentral describes it as "partial 16S ribosomal RNA". It matches the Rfam family "Bacterial small subunit ribosomal RNA", at positions 524 to 776 of the family's 1533-position model. The record is from RNAcentral.